ACCGAAACAGCUGUGACAUAUUGAAAAUAAAAUUGAGAAGAUUUGAAUUAAUAAAAUAGAUGUUUAUUUUAUUAAAUCUUUCCAUUUAUUGUUUUUUUGCCGAAAGUGAAAAUAUGAAACGUGCAUAUCCAAGUGGAGAGCAAAAGCACAAAGAAAAGAAAGUGAAAGGAGAUGAAGCAAAGAAAUAUUAUCAUAAACUUACUUUGUGGAUCAAUAAGCCUGAUAAGGCUCAAGAUAGGCUUAGUUUAAGGGCAUGUACAGCUCCGGCUGAAGGGUUUGUCGCCUCGAAGGGGUGUGGUCGGCUGUUGGGCGGUACUC
RNAcentral lists this long non-coding RNA (318 nucleotides) under Androctonus crassicauda. The record is from RNAcentral. Lineage: Eukaryota; Metazoa; Arthropoda; Arachnida; Scorpiones; Buthidae.